Molecule: long non-coding RNA, 555 nt
Organism: Lutra lutra (Eurasian river otter)
Lineage: Eukaryota; Metazoa; Chordata; Mammalia; Carnivora; Mustelidae
Exons: 4
Source: RefSeq, a predicted model, not a curated record
UGUAACAAGAAUAUGGAUUUACAAAAUUUUGGAACCUGGCACAAAAUUGUUUCAGGAAGAUUUGAAGCAAGAAGUAUUUGUUCCUCUGAUUUACAAUGAAAAGUAAAAGUGGAAGUGUAAGAUGGAAAUCCUCCUGGCAUUUAAGAUCAUCAUCUCCCUCAAGCCUUCCUGUCAGAAAGAGAACAGCCCUAAGUGAAAUGCUGCAGAUCAGUGAGUUGGUAAACCAGCUAGGGAAACAGUGUGUUACAGCCGAUCAGACCUCUGAAAAUAUCCCACUUUGAAGAUGUAAGAAUGAGAGAGACAUAUCUGAAUAGGAUCCAGAGAAGCAAUUGGGUCUAAGGCAUUUGAUGUUGCUGAUUUUGGGGAGGAACGCACAACAAGAAGUAGGAAAGAUGCUUCUGCACAGAUCUCAAAGUUUCAGAGAGUAUAAAAGCUUUGAUAGUCAUCUGUUGCCACCAGAAUCACUGUCAUGACUGGCAUUUUAUGGGUAAUUAUUUCAUAGUCACUGGAAAUAGAAGCCUACCAACUUAAGUUCUGAUGAUAGUUGGCCACUAA